AAUCUUCCGCAAUGGACGAAAGUCUGACGGAGCAACGCCGCGUGAGUGAUGAAGGUCNNNGGAUCNUNAAACACUGUUGUUAGNGCNNAGCGAGUAGCGUUCGAAUAGGGAGGUACCUUGACGGUACCUAACCAGAAAGCCACGGCUUAUUACGUGCCAGCAGCCGCGGUAAUACGUAGGUGGCAAGCGUUAUACGGAAUUAUUGGGCGUAAAGCGCGCGCAGGCGGUUUCUUAAGUCUGAUGUGAAAGCCCACGGCUCAACCGUGGAGGGUCAUUGGAAACUGGGAAGCUUGAGUGCAGAAGAGGAGAGUGGAAUUCCAUGUGUAGCGGUGAAAUGCGUAGAGAUAUGGAGGAACACCAGUGGCGAAGGCGACUCUCUGGUCUGCAACUGACGCUGAGGCGCGAAAGCGUGGGGAGCGAACA
This 423-nucleotide ribosomal RNA is filed under the name uncultured bacterium. RNAcentral's name for it is "partial 16S ribosomal RNA". It matches the Rfam family "Bacterial small subunit ribosomal RNA", at positions 360 to 774 of the family's 1533-position model. The record is from RNAcentral.